This 460-nucleotide ribosomal RNA is filed under the name uncultured bacterium. RNAcentral's name for it is "partial 16S ribosomal RNA". It matches the Rfam family "Bacterial small subunit ribosomal RNA", at positions 338 to 795 of the family's 1533-position model. The record is from RNAcentral.
CCUACGGGUGGCAGCAGUGAGGAAUAUUGGUCAAUGGACGGAAGUCUGAACCAGCCAUGCCGCGUGCAGGAAGACGGCUCUAUGAGUUGUAAACUGCUUUUGUACAAGGGUAAACCUGAAUACGUGUAUUCAGCUGAAAGUACUGUACGAAUAAGGAUCGGCUAACUCCGUGCCAGCAGCCGCGGUAAUACGGAGGAUCCAAGCGUUAUCCGGAUUUAUUGGGUUUAAAGGGUGCGUAGGCGGAUUGAUAAGUUAGAGGUGAAAUGUCCGAGCUUAACUCGGGAACUGCCUCUAAUACUGUUGGUCUAGAGAGUAGAUGCGGUAGGCGGAAUGUAUGGUGUAGCGGUGAAAUGCUUAGAGAUCAUACAGAACACCGAUUGCGAAGGCAGCUUACCAAUCUAUAUCUGACGUUGAGGCACGAAAGUGUGGGGAGCAAACAGGAUUAGAUACCCCUGUAGUC